UGAGUGAGUGAGAAACAAGGGAAUCGUAUCCUCAAGUAAGUCUCGAAAAUCUAUUCGAGACUUACUUGAGGAUACGUGAGGAUCUUAGUUGAGCAGUAU
Brugia malayi is the source of this 99-nucleotide non-coding RNA. Lineage: Eukaryota; Metazoa; Nematoda; Chromadorea; Rhabditida; Onchocercidae. The record is from RefSeq and is a predicted model, not a curated record.